AGGCGAACCGGGAGAACUGAAACAUCUAAGUACCCCGAGGAAAAGAAAUCAACCGAGAUUCUGUGAGUAGCGGCGAGCGAAAGCGGAAGAGCCAGUAAGUUUUAGCUAGCAUAUUAGAGGAAUUGGCUGGGAAGCCAAAUCAAAGAGGGUGAUAAUCCCGUACUCGAAAGUAUGUUAGUGGAACUAAGCUUACGAUAAGUAAGGCGGGACACGAGAAAUCCUGUUUGAAGAUGGGGGGACCAUCCUCCAAGGCUAAAUACUCCUGAUUGACCGAUAGUGAACCAGUACUGUGAAGGAAAGGCGAAAAGAACCCCGGUGAGGGGAGUGAAAUAGAACCUGAAACCCUGUACGUACAAGCAGUAGGAGCGAGGGCAACCUUGUGACUGCGUACCUUUUGUAUAAUGGGUCAGCGACUUAUAUUUUGUAGCGAGGUUAACUGAAUAAGGGAGCCGAAGGGAAACCGAGUCUUAACUGGGCGUUGAGUUGCAAGGUAUAGACCCGAAACCCGGUGAUCUAGCCAUGGGCAGGUUGAAGGUUGGGUAACACUAACUGGAGGACCGAACCGACUAAUGUUGAAAAAUUAGCGGAUGACUUGUGGCUGGGGGUGAAAGGCCAAUCAAACCGGGAGAUAGCUGGUUCUCCCCGAAAUCUAUUUAGGUAGAGCCUUGAGCGGACACCUUCGGGGGUAGAGCACUGUUUCGGCUAGGGGUCCAUCCCGGAUUACCAACCCGAUGCAAACUGCGAAUACCGAAGAGUGAUACUCAGGAGACACACGGCGGGUGCUAACGUUCGUCGUGGAGAGGGAAACAACCCAGACCGCCAGCUAAGGUCCCGAAGUCUAUAUUAAGUGGGAAACGAAGUGGGAAGGCUUAGACAGCUAGGAUGUUGGCUUAGAAGCAGCCAUCAUUUAAAGAAAGCGUAAUAGCUCACUAGUCGAGUCGGCCUGCGCGGAAGAUGUAACGGGGCUCAAAUAUAGCACCGAAGCUGCGGCAUCAGAAUUUAUUCUGUUGGGUAGGGGAGCGUUGUGUAAGCGGAUGAAGGUGGCUCGAGAGGGUUGCUGGACGUAUCACAAGUGCGAAUGCUGACAUAAGUAACGAUAAAACGAGUGAAAAACUCGUUCGCCGGAAGACCAAGGGUUCCUGUCCAACGUUAAUCGGGGCAGGGUGAGUCGGCCCCUAAGGCGAGGCUGAAAAGCGUAGUCGAUGGGAAACGGGUUAAUAUUCCCGUACUUGG
Molecule: ribosomal RNA, 1233 nt
Filed under: Pasteurella multocida
Lineage: Bacteria; Pseudomonadati; Pseudomonadota; Gammaproteobacteria; Pasteurellales; Pasteurellaceae
Description: partial 23S ribosomal RNA
Rfam family: Bacterial large subunit ribosomal RNA
Source: RNAcentral